Molecule: long non-coding RNA, 407 nt
Filed under: Crocodylus porosus (Australian saltwater crocodile)
Lineage: Eukaryota; Metazoa; Chordata; Crocodylia; Crocodylidae
Description: lncRNA (ENSCPRG00005003807.1)
Source: RNAcentral
AGAACAGACACAAAGUUGUUUGGGUCAUGGAACUGGCUGGAAAAGCUGGCUUAGAAACUGUGAGCUGUUUGUUUACAGCUGGAAACAGGUUCUUGUGUACAUUGUUCGACAUCAUUGAUUCCUCCUCCUAACAUGCACAACUAAGAAGGCCUGGCUAGGUGUUUAGGCAAAUGGACAGCAACAAAAAUUAGCUCAGGUUCUCUCUCUGGGCUUGACCACUCAAAGAUUGCUCAAGCUGUACUAGAUCUUCCUUCUCAGCUGUUCUAUUUCCCUUCCAUCUUAACUGAUAAAAAUGUGUGUGGUGGGGCAGAGCCCCCACAGCCCCUGCUACUGCUGUGAGAGAAAGUAUCAGCACUGGGCAGGUAAAGAUUCCCUUGUCAAGGUAAGGGAAGGACCAACAAAUCAAG